Molecule: ribosomal RNA, 460 nt
Filed under: uncultured bacterium
Lineage: Bacteria
Description: partial 16S ribosomal RNA
Rfam family: Bacterial small subunit ribosomal RNA
Source: RNAcentral
CCUACGGGUGGCAGCAGUGAGGAAUAUUGGUCAAUGGACGAGAGUCUGAACCAGCCAAGUAGCGUGAAGGAUGACUGCCCUAUGGGUUGUAAACUUCUUUUAUAUGGGAAUAAAACGUUCCACGUGUGGGAUUUUGUAUGUACCAUAUGAAUAAGGAUCGGCUAACUCCGUGCCAGCCGCCGCGGUAAUAAGGAGGAUCCGAGCGUGUUCCGGAUUUAUUGGUUUUAAAGGGUGCGUAGGUGGAAUGUUAAGUCAGUUGUGAAAGUUUGCGGCUCAACCGUAACAUUGCAGUUGAAACUGGCAGGCGUGAGUACAGUAGAGGUGGGCGGAAUGCGUGGUGUAGCGGUGAAAUGCUUAGAUAUCACGAAGAACUCCGAUUGCGAAGGCAGUUCACUGGACUGCAACUGACACUGAGGCUCGAAAGUGUGGGUAUCAAACAGGAUUAGAUACCCUUGUAGUC